UGGAUCGAUGAUGAGAGGUGGUGGUGUAUGAGUCAAGGACGAUGAAUAUACAUGGCUGGAACUCUGAGGUCCAA
This is a small nucleolar RNA of Lemur catta (Ring-tailed lemur), 74 nucleotides long. RefSeq annotates it as small nucleolar RNA SNORD113/SNORD114 family. The record is from RefSeq and is a predicted model, not a curated record. The transcript has a single exon. NCBI's taxonomy places the organism in Eukaryota, Metazoa, Chordata, Mammalia, Primates, Lemuridae.